GUCGUCCGAUGAUUUUAGAAAUUUUACCACGUCUAAGUAAAUACAAUAUAAGUAGUAUUACUAAGGUUUAAGCUUCCACGUAUAUUUAUAAUCUAAUUGCAGUAAAAAACCUCUCAAAAAUUAAAGUUCCUUAAAAACUCAAAAGAUUUAGCGAUGAUACCGUAAGAAAGUAAAUCAAAUAGGAAACAAAUAAGGUAUUCUGU
Non-coding RNA from Cinara cedri, 203 nucleotides. NCBI's taxonomy places the organism in Eukaryota, Metazoa, Arthropoda, Insecta, Hemiptera, Aphididae. The record is from the annotation of a GenBank genome assembly.